Molecule: long non-coding RNA, 476 nt
Filed under: Struthio camelus australis
Lineage: Eukaryota; Metazoa; Chordata; Aves; Struthioniformes; Struthionidae
Description: lncRNA (ENSSCUG00000006553.1)
Source: RNAcentral
AGUCAGCAGAGAGACUUCUGAACCUAAGAAAGGAAGUAGGUGGUGAGAAAAUGGAAAAAGAAGAGCUGAUGCUGAGCAAGAUAGGGAUGCACGAUUCUUUGGAAAAAGGAUGGCAGCAGGAAGAGCGAAGUUUGCUGAAGGACUUCUACUGGAUCUUGACUGGGCCUGGAGCAAGCAUGAUGGCGGACUGCACAGCCCUCAAAACAGCACUGAACACACCUGCACAGCAUGUAAAAUCAGAUAGUCAAGUCCUUCUUCAGUUUGGUGGUCUCCUGUUUGAGAACUUCUCUUUGGACUCAACUAAACUGCGCCAAUAUUCAGUGCCUCACAUACGCGAUGGCUACUUUUGGAACACUGGGGAUGGGUCACCAUAGAUCAGCAGUAAAACCCGCUUAACCAUCUGGCCUACCUUCUGGAAAUCUCUUCCUUCGGUCUGGCAUGGACUGAAUAAAUAUCUUCAUUUCUAAUAAUUGUCA